AUUGAACGCUGGCGGAAUGCUUUACACAUGCAAGUCGAACGGUAGAGGGGGCAACCCCUUGAGAGUGGGGGGGCAACGGGUGAGUAAUAUAUCGGAACGUGCCCAGUCGUGGGGAUAACGUAGCGAAAGUUACGCUAAUACCGCAUACGAUCUAUGGAUGAAAGCGGGGGAUCGCAAGACCUCGCGCGAUUGGAGCGGCCGAUAUCAGAUUAGGUAGUUGGUGAGGUAAAGGCUCACCAAGCCGACGAUCUGUAGCUGGUCUGAGAGGACGACCAGCCACACUGGGACUGAGACACGGCCCAGACUCCUACGGGAGGCAGCAGUGGGAAUUUUGGACGAAUGGGCGCAAGCCUGAUCCAGCAAUGCCGCGUGCAGGAUGAAGGCC
Molecule: ribosomal RNA, 385 nt
Filed under: uncultured bacterium
Lineage: Bacteria
Description: bacterial SSU rRNA
Rfam family: Bacterial small subunit ribosomal RNA
Source: RNAcentral